Molecule: ribosomal RNA, 253 nt
Filed under: uncultured bacterium
Lineage: Bacteria
Description: partial 16S ribosomal RNA
Rfam family: Bacterial small subunit ribosomal RNA
Source: RNAcentral
UACGAAGGGUGCAAGCGUUACUCGGAAUUACUGGGCGUAAAGCGUGCGUAGGUGGUUUGUUAAGUCGGGUGUGAAAGCCCCGGGCUCAACCUGGGAAUUGCAUUCGAGACUGAAUAGCUAGGGUACGGUAGAGGGAAGUGGAAUUUCCGGUGUAGCGGUGAAAUGCGUAGAUAUCGGAAGGAACAUCAGUGGCGAAAGCGACUUCCUGGACCAGUACCGACGUUCAGGCACGAAAGCGUGGGGAGCAAACAGG